Molecule: small RNA, 925 nt
Filed under: Oryza sativa Japonica Group (Japanese rice)
Lineage: Eukaryota; Viridiplantae; Streptophyta; Magnoliopsida; Poales; Poaceae
Description: sRNA Os03g0765050
Source: RNAcentral
UGUGCGAGCCUUUUGGUCACUACAACUCCCUGAUGGGUCUGCAUUCUUCACAAUCCAUGGAUGUUUCAUUAUGUCAUCAAGAGAAAGUCUCUUGUUUGAAUCCUUCACCAAAAGCUUGCAAAUGAGAUCCUUAGCAUCUGCAGAAACAUAAGGAGUUGAGGGGAACGACAAAUCCACUUUAACUAUCCUGCUCAAUGUAUCAUCCUGUUCUGCUGCUUCAAAAGGUGGUGACCCAUAUAAGAACUCAUAGCACAAGAUUCCUAAAGUCCAGUUGUCAACAGCAUGGUCAUGAGCCUUUUUCUCUAUCAUUUCAGGUGCCAGGUAAUCAAUUGUACCACAAAGUGUGUGUCGUUUAGCAUUUGAUCUAACCGCCCAUCCAAAAUCUGCAAUUUUAAGUCGGCCCUGGAAAAGGGGGAGUAAAUUCUCUGGCUUGAUGUCCCGAUGGAUAACUUGCUUCUUAUGACAGUAUGCUAGUGCACCGGCAAGGCUGGCAACAUACUAAAAAUAAACAAGCGGUGCGCUCAGAGAAGCGGCGGACGGUGCGGAGGAGCUUGUAAAGCUCCCCACGGGCGGCGUACUCGAGCACGAGGACGACGCGCUCGGCGUCGUGGAACCAGGCGAAGAGACGGAGCACGUUGGGGUGGUCGAGGCCGUGCUGGAUCUCGAUCUCCCGCCGCAGGUGCGCGUGGAACCUGUACUUGUCCAGCUUCGCCUUGAAUGUCACCUUGAGCGCCACCACCGUACCUGCUUCUCGCGGGCGAGGUAGACCUUCCCGAACUUGCCCUCGCCGAUGUACUUGCCGAUCUCGAAGUCGUCCAUGCUCCACUCCGGCUUCUCCAUCGGACGCCGCGGCGGUGGCCGGUGGAGGCGCAAGAGAGGCGAGGGCGGCGGCGCGAAGGCGGCGGAGGAAUCGGAGGAGAGAAGC